GACGAAGGAUGCAAGCGUUAUCCGGAUUCAUUGGGUUUAAAGGGAGCGUAGGCGGAUUUGUAAGUCAGUGGUGAAAUCUUUGGGCUUAACCCAGAAACUGCCAUUGAUACUGCAGAUCUAGAGUACAGUUGCCGUUGGCGGAAUAUGACAUGUAGUGGUGAAAUACUUAGAUAUGUCAUAGAACACCGAUUGCGAAGGCAGCUAACGAAGCUGUAACUGACGCUGAGGCUCGAAAGUGCGGGGAUCAAACAGG
This 253-nucleotide ribosomal RNA is filed under the name uncultured bacterium. RNAcentral describes it as "partial 16S ribosomal RNA". It matches the Rfam family "Bacterial small subunit ribosomal RNA", at positions 524 to 776 of the family's 1533-position model. The record is from RNAcentral.